This 392-nucleotide ribosomal RNA is filed under the name uncultured bacterium. RNAcentral's name for it is "partial 16S ribosomal RNA". It matches the Rfam family "Bacterial small subunit ribosomal RNA", at positions 523 to 918 of the family's 1533-position model. The record is from RNAcentral.
AUACGGAGGAUCCGAGCGUUAUCCGGAUUUAUUGGGUUUAAAGGGUGCGCAGGCGGCCAUUUAAGUCAGCGGUUAAAUCGUGGGGCUCAACCCCAUUCUGCCGUUGAUCCUGGGUGGCUUGAUUGCGGUCGAGGUUGGCGGAAUUCGUUGUGUAGCGGUGAAAUGCUUAGAUAUCCCGCAGAACCCCGAUUGCGAAGGCAGCCUUCCAAGCCAUGACUGACGCUGAUGCACGAAAGCGUGGGGAUCAAACAGGAUUAGAUACCCUGGUAGUCCACGCAGUAAACGAUGAUCACUAGCUGUUUGCGAUACAUUGUAAGCGGCACAGCGAAAGCGUUAAGUGAUCCACCUGGGGAGUACGCCGGCAACGGUGAAACUCAAAUGAAUUGACGGGG